Molecule: long non-coding RNA, 2147 nt
Organism: Leucoraja erinaceus (little skate)
Lineage: Eukaryota; Metazoa; Chordata; Chondrichthyes; Rajiformes; Rajidae
Exons: 2
Source: RefSeq, a predicted model, not a curated record
GUUAUUGUUGGACGUUAUUUAAAGCACGUAUUUGCUUCAACAGCAGGAGCCUCUACAGGAGGCUUUAAACAUUUGAGUGAGUCUGUGUGUGUGCGAGUCUGUGUGUGCGUGUGUGUGUGUGUGUGUAUAGAUGUGUGUGAGUCUGUGUGUUUGUAUAUAUGCGUGCUUUUAUAAAAGUGUGCUUCAUUGAAUGAUGACCUGAUAUAAAUUAUCAGAUUUUCUUUGUUAAAGUCUGACCGCUGAAUCUCUGUCUAUUGAAAUUGUCUCUUUUUUUUAUCAACAACAAAGAGACAUAAAGAUGCAGUGAGCAGCAACAAGAGGCACAGCAAGAAAGAAUUAUACUCAUCUUUGACAUUUAAAAUGUUGUUAUAUUUUAAGAGAUGUUAAACUUUAAUAAAUCAUUUUUCCACUUUUCAUGCCUGCGUGUUCUUCAUCACAAUGGGAACCUAAUGGGCAGGAAUGGAUACUCUGUGGGAGUAUCUUGCUUCUGCCCAAAGAUAGGAUCUUCCCUUCGGCCUCUGCACAGAUCCUAUAGUGGAGCAAACAUAGAAACAUAGAAAAUAGAUGCAGGAGGAGUCAAUUUGGCCCUUCAAGCUAGCACCGCCAUUCAUUGUGAUCGUGGGUGAUCGUCCCCUAUCAAUAACCCGUGCCUGCCUUCUCCCCAUAUUCCUUGACUUCACUAGCCGCUAGAGCUCUAUCUAACUCUCUCUUAAAUCCAUCCAGUGACUAGGCUUCCACUGCCCUCUGUGGCAGGGAAUUCCAUAAAUUCACACAUUUCUCUGGGUGAAAAAGUUUCUUCUCACCUUAGUCUUAAAUUACCUGCCCUUUAUUCUAAGACUGGCCCCUGGUUCUGGACUCACCCAACAUUGGGAACAUUUCUCCUGCAUCUAGCUUGCCCAGUCCUUUAAUAAUUUAAUAUGUUUCUAUAAGAUUCCCCCUCAUCCUUCUAAACUCCAGUGAAUACAAGCCUAGUCUUUUCAAUCUUUACUCAUAUACAGUCCCACCAACCCAGGGAUCAAUCUCGUAAACCUACGCUGCAGAAGAACCUCUUCACUCUAUACUGAAAUCCUCUUGUUAUGAAGGCCAACAUUCCAUAGCUUUCUUUACUGCCUGCUGUACCUCUAAGCCAACUUUCAGUGGCCGGUGUACAAGGACGCCCAGGUCUCGCUGCACAUCCCCCUUACCUAACCUAAAUCUAUUGAGAUAAUAAUCAGCCCCCUUGUUUUUGCCUUCAAAGUGGAUAACCUCACAUUUAUCUAUAGUAUACUGCACAUGCCAUGCAUCUGCCCACUCACUCAACCUGUCCAGGUCACCCUGCAACCUCCUAACAUCCUCUUCACAGUUCACACUGCCACCCAGCUUUGUGUCAUUUGCAAACUUGCGAGUGUUGCUCCUAAUUCACUCUUCCAAAUCAUUAAUAUAUAUGGUAAACAGUUGCGGCCCCAAUAACAAACCUUACGGCACUCCACUCGACACUGCCUGCCAUUCUGAAAAGGACCCGUUCACUCCUACUCUUUGCUUCCUGUCUACCAAUCAAUUUUCUAUCCAUGUGAUCACCCUACCACCAAUACCAUGUGCUCAAGAUGGACCACUCCUGCAAAAAACAAUCGGCAAUCGGCAAUGUGGGCAAUACGACUUGUCUUUCUUCAGGUUCCCCAUUAAGGAGGAAAGAUGUCGACAUUGGACAUGAUCUACACCGAACUGCGGAGUAUUUGUGAAAUAACUGCCCUCUUAUGUACAUUGUGUGAAAUUGUGAUUUGCUAACUGCACAAAUAUAAUGCGAAUGGCGAUUUAUUUAUUAUUGUAUCUAUGUUGGACAUUUUGCUGUUUGGUGAAGCAGGGGUGGGGCUAUCAUUGUGUUACAUACGUUAAAUUGUACAUCACUUUCACUGGUUAGCUGAUAUGCUGAACUGCAACCCUGUAUAACUCGCGCACAGAAUAAUGUGAAUUGUGUAAAUCUUAUCCCAACGGGUCCCACUUAGUCUAUUGAUUGUGUAUAAGCUGCAAAUUUUGUCCUUUGUUUGAAAUGUGUAGAAUGUGACAUCACUUUUAUUGAUUAUCUGAUAUUCUAAAUUCUGCAAAUUCUGCAAGCCUGUAUAUGUCGUGCACAAAAUGAUGUAAAUAAAAAUUGUUUUCCUGUUUAAGAA